RNAcentral lists this ribosomal RNA (497 nucleotides) under uncultured bacterium. RNAcentral describes it as "partial 16S ribosomal RNA". It matches the Rfam family "Bacterial small subunit ribosomal RNA", at positions 28 to 507 of the family's 1533-position model. The record is from RNAcentral.
GAUGAACGCUGGCGGCGUGCCUAAUACAUGCAAGUCGAGCGAACAGAUAAGGAGCUUGCUCCUCUGACGUUAGCGGCGGACGGGUGAGUAACACGUGGGUAACCUACCUAUAAGACUGGGAUAACUUCGGGAAACCGGAGCUAAUACCGGAUAACAUAUAGAACCGCAUGGUUCUAAAGUGAAAGACGGUUUUGCUAUCACUUAUAGAUGGACCCGCGCCGUAUUAGCUAGUUGGUAAGGUAACGGCUUACCAAGGCGACGAUACGUAGCCGACCUGAGAGGGUGAUCGGCCACACUGGAACUGAGACACGGUCCAGACUCCUACGGGAGGCAGCAGUAGGGAAUCUUCCGCAAUGGGCGAAAGCCUGACGGAGCAACGCCGCGUGAGUGAUGAAGGGUUUCGGCUCGUAAAACUCUGUUAUUAGGGAAGAACAAAUGUGUAAGUAACUGUGCACAUCUUGACGGUACCUAAUCAGAAAGCCACGGCUAACUACGUG